RNAcentral lists this ribosomal RNA (153 nucleotides) under uncultured Tuber. Its description in RNAcentral is "5.8S ribosomal RNA". It matches the Rfam family "5.8S ribosomal RNA". Rfam says of the family: 5.8S ribosomal RNA (5.8S rRNA) is a component of the large subunit of the eukaryotic ribosome. It is transcribed by RNA polymerase I as part of the 45S precursor that also contains 18S and 28S rRNA. Lineage: Eukaryota; Fungi; Ascomycota; Pezizomycetes; Pezizales; Tuberaceae. The record is from RNAcentral.
AACUUUCAACAACGGAUCUCUUGGCUCUCGUAUCGAUGAAGAACGCAGCGAAAUGCGAUAAGUAAUGUGAAUUGCAGAAUUCAGUGAAUCAUCGAAUCUUUGAACGCACAUUGCGCCUCUUGGUAUUCCUUGAGGCAUGCCUGUUCGAGCGUC